This 2927-nucleotide ribosomal RNA is filed under the name Shigella flexneri. RNAcentral's name for it is "23S ribosomal RNA". It matches the Rfam family "Bacterial large subunit ribosomal RNA". The record is from RNAcentral. Lineage: Bacteria; Pseudomonadati; Pseudomonadota; Gammaproteobacteria; Enterobacterales; Enterobacteriaceae.
GGGUUGUGAGGUUAAGCGACUAAGCGUACACGGUGGAUGCCCUGGCAGUCAGAGGCGAUGAAGGACGUGCUAAUCUGCGAUAAGCGUCGGUAAGGUGAUAUGAACCGUUAUAACCGGCGAUUUCCGAAUGGGGAAACCCAGUGUGAUUCGUCACACUAUCAUUAACUGAAUCCAUAGGUUAAUGAGGCGAACCGGGGGAACUGAAACAUCUAAGUACCCCGAGGAAAAGAAAUCAACCGAGAUUCCCCCAGUAGCGGCGAGCGAACGGGGAGCAGCCCAGAGCCUGAAUCAGUGUGUGUGUUAGUGGAAGCGUCUGGAAAGGCGUGCGAUACAGGGUGACAGCCCCGUACACAAAAAUGCACAUACUGUGAGCUCGAUGAGUAGGGCGGGACACGUGGUAUCCUGUCUGAAUAUGGGGGGACCAUCCUCCAAGGCUAAAUACUCCUGACUGACCGAUAGUGAACCAGUACCGUGAGGGAAAGGCGAAAAGAACCCCGGCGAGGGGAGUGAAAAAGAACCUGAAACCGUGUACGUACAAGCAGUGGGAGCACGCUUAGGCGUGUGACUGCGUACCUUUUGUAUAAUGGGUCAGCGACUUAUAUUCUGUAGCAAGGUUAACCGAAUAGGGGAGCCGAAGGGAAACCGAGUCUUAACUGGGCGUUAAGUUGCAGGGUAUAGACCCGAAACCCGGUGAUCUAGCCAUGGGCAGGUUGAAGGUUGGGUAACACUAACUGGAGGACCGAACCGACUAAUGUUGAAAAAUUAGCGGAUGACUUGUGGCUGGGGGUGAAAGGCCAAUCAAACCGGGAGAUAGCUGGUUCUCCCCGAAAGCUAUUUAGGUAGCGCCUCGUGAAUUCAUCUCCGGGGGGUAGAGCACUGUUUCGGCAAGGGGGUCAUCCCGACUUACCAACCCGAUGCAAACUGCGAAUACCGGAGAAUGUUAUCACGGGAGGCACACGGCGGGUGCUAACGUCCGUCGUGAAGAGGGAAACAACCCAGACCGCCAGCUAAGGUCCCAAAGUCAUGGUUAAGUGGGAAACGAUGUGGGAAGGCCCAGACAGCCAGGAUGUUGGCUUAGAAGCAGCCAUCAUUUAAAGAAAGCGUAAUAGCUCACUGGUCGAGUCGGCCUGCGCGGAAGAUGUAACGGGGCUAAACCAUGCACCGAAGCUGCGGCAGCGACGCUUAUGCGUUGUUGGGUAGGGGAGCGUUCUGUAAGCCUGUGAAGGUGUACUGUGAGGUAUGCUGGAGGUAUCAGAAGUGCGAAUGCUGACAUAAGUAACGAUAAAGCGGGUGAAAAGCCCGCUCGCCGGAAGACCAAGGGUUCCUGUCCAACGUUAAUCGGGGCAGGGUGAGUCGACCCCUAAGGCGAGGCCGAAAGGCGUAGUCGAUGGGAAACAGGUUAAUAUUCCUGUACUUGGUGUUACUGCGAAGGGGGGACGGAGAAGGCUAUGUUGGCCGGGCGACGGUUGUCCCGGUUUAAGCGUGUAGGCUGGUUUUCCAGGCAAAUCCGGAAAAUCAAGGCCGAGGCGUGAUGACAAGGCACUACGGUGCUGAAGCAACAAAUGCCCUGCUUCCAGGAAAAGCCUCUAAGCAUCAGGUAACAUCAAAUCGUACCCCAAACCGACACAGGUGGUCAGGUAGAGAAUACCAAGGCGCUUGAGAGAACUCGGGUGAAGGAACUAGGCAAAAUGGUGCCGUAACUUCGGGAGAAGGCACGCUGAUACGUAGGUGAAGCGACUUGCUCGUGGAGCUGAAAUCAGUCGAAGAUACCAGCUGGCUGCAACUGUUUAUUAAAAACACAGCACUGUGCAAACACGAAAGUGGACGUAUACAGUGUGACGCCUGCCCGGUGCCGGAAGGUUAAUUGAUGGGGUUAGCGCAAGCGAAGCUCUUGAUCGAAGCCCCGGUAAACGGCGGCCGUAACUAUAACGGUCCUAAGGUAGCGAAAUUCCUUGUCGGGUAAGUUCCGACCUGCACGAAUGGCGUAAUGAUGGCCAGGCUGUCUCCACCCGAGACUCAGUGAAAUUGAACUCGCUGUGAAGAUGCAGUGUACCCGCGGCAAGACGGAAAGACCCCGUGAACCUUUACUAUAGCUUGACACUGAACAUUGAGCCUUGAUGUGUAGGAUAGGUGGGAGGCUUUGAAGUGUGGACGCCAGUCUGCAUGGAGCCGACCUUGAAAUACCACCCUUUAAUGUUUGAUGUUCUAACGUGGACCCGUGAUCCGGGUUGCGGACAGUGUCUGGUGGGUAGUUUGACUGGGGCGGUCUCCUCCUAAAGAGUAACGGAGGAGCACGAAGGUUGGCUAAUCCCUGGUCGGACAUCAGGAGGUUAGUGCAAUGGCAUAAGCCAGCUUGACUGCGAGCGUGACGGCGCGAGCAGGUGCGAAAGCAGGUCAUAGUGAUCCGGUGGUUCUGAAUGGAAGGGCCAUCGCUCAACGGAUAAAAGGUACUCCGGGGAUAACAGGCUGAUACCGCCCAAGAGUUCAUAUCGACGGCGGUGUUUGGCACCUCGAUGUCGGCUCAUCACAUCCUGGGGCUGAAGUAGGUCCCAAGGGUAUGGCUGUUCGCCAUUUAAAGUGGUACGCGAGCUGGGUUUAGAACGUCGUGAGACAGUUCGGUCCCUAUCUGCCGUGGGCGCUGGAGAACUGAGGGGGGCUGCUCCUAGUACGAGAGGACCGGAGUGGACGCAUCACUGGUGUUCGGGUUGUCAUGCCAAUGGCACUGCCCGGUAGCUAAAUGCGGAAGAGAUAAGUGCUGAAAGCAUCUAAGCACGAAACUUGCCCCGAGAUGAGUUCUCCCUGACCCUUUAAGGGUCCUGAAGGAACGUUGAAGACGACGACGUUGAUAGGCCGGGUGUGUAAGCGCAGCGAUGCGUUGAGCUAACCGGUACUAAUGAACCGUGAGGCUUAACCUUACAACGCCGAAG